This 77-nucleotide transfer RNA is filed under the name Clostridiales bacterium. RNAcentral's name for it is "tRNA-Val". It matches the Rfam family "tRNA". Rfam says of the family: Transfer RNA (tRNA) molecules are approximately 80 nucleotides in length. Their secondary structure includes four short double-helical elements and three loops (D, anti-codon, and T loops). Lineage: Bacteria; Bacillati; Bacillota; Clostridia; Eubacteriales. The record is from RNAcentral. RNAcentral also lists the same sequence under 1 other name.
GAGGGUAUAGCUCAGCUGGUUAGAGUACCUGCUUGACAUGCAGGGGGUCGGUGGUUCAAGUCCACUUAUCCUCACCA